AAGCCCUCAGUAGCUGAAUUAACCCAGCUACCUUUAUUUGCAAACAGAAGGACUCAAUUUAUACAGAGAGGUAGAGAACUAUCCUCAUGCCCAGAAUGAAGCUAUGAAUCCUGAUUAUGCUCAAGUGUAAGGGCAAAGACUGAGGUAUGCACUGAAGAGAAAUGAAAAGUUUCCAGUGAGGUUUGUGUAGAACCCUAUUUCUGAGCUUGGCACCAGGUAGGUACAUGAGCAUGUACAUGUGUGUAUGUGCAGGUGCGUCUGGGGAUACUUCAGUGUGUGCUUUAGACAUCACCCCUGUAUCACUGUUCUAUAACACCAUGACUUUGGAAGGACCCACAUUCAGUCCCCAGAAUGAUGCAGAUAUAGAAGGCCCUUACACAGUCACUGGGAAUCAUAAAGGGGCAAAGAUUUUCCUCAUUCUUCGUAUAUUAUUUUUUGAGUGUCCAUUUUAUGCCAGGUUCCCUGCUAGGCAUUGAGGACGCCAAGACAUUUUCCCAUUUAGCACCUCUACCCCAUCCCCUUACUAGCCUCACCUUGGCCCCUGUAGAGUAGGAGGGAGAAUAAAAAACAAG
Molecule: long non-coding RNA, 572 nt
Filed under: Homo sapiens (human)
Lineage: Eukaryota; Metazoa; Chordata; Mammalia; Primates; Hominidae
Description: HSALNT0302236
Source: RNAcentral